Molecule: ribosomal RNA, 477 nt
Filed under: uncultured bacterium
Lineage: Bacteria
Description: bacterial SSU rRNA
Rfam family: Bacterial small subunit ribosomal RNA
Source: RNAcentral
CAGGACGAACGCUGGCGGCGUGCCUAACACAUGCAAGUCGAGCGAGGAGAUCCUUCGGGAUGAUCCUAGCGGCGGACGGGUGAGUAACACGUGGGCAACCUGCCUCAUAGAGAGGAAUAGCCUUCCGAAAGGGAGAUUAAUACCUCAUAACAUUGCAGUUUCGCAUGAAACAGCAAUUAAAGGGGCAAUCCGCUAUGAGAUGGGCCCGCGGCGCAUUAGCUAGUUGGUGAGGUAACGGCUCACCAAGGCGACGAUGCGUAGCCGACCUGAGAGGGUGAUCGGCCACAUUGGGACUGAGACACGGCCCAGACUCCUACGGGAGGCAGCAGUGGGGAAUAUUGCACAAUGGGGGAAACCCUGAUGCAGCAAACCGCCGCAUGAGUGAUGACGGCCUUCGGGUUGUAAAGCUCUGUCUUCAGGGACGAUAAUGACGGUACCUGAGGAGGAAGCCACGGCUAACUACGUGCCAGCAGCUGC